AUUGAACGCUAGCGGCAUGCUUAACACAUGCAAGUCGAACGGUAACAGGCCUAGCUUGCUAGGUGCUGACGAGUGGCGAACGGGUGAGUAACGCGUAGGAAUCUACCUCGUAGUGGGGACAACCCGAGGAAACUCGGGCUAAUACCACAUAAUCUCUACGGAGACAAAGGGGGCCUCUAUUUAUAAGCUCUCGCUAUGAGAAGAGCCUGCGUCAGAUUAGUCNGUUGGUGGGGUAAAGGCCUACCAAGGCAACGAUCUGUAGCUGGUCUGAGAGGACGAUCAGCCAC
Molecule: ribosomal RNA, 287 nt
Filed under: uncultured bacterium
Lineage: Bacteria
Description: partial 16S ribosomal RNA
Rfam family: Bacterial small subunit ribosomal RNA
Source: RNAcentral